UACGUAGGUGGCAAGCGUUGUCCGGAUUUACUGGGUGUAAAGGGCGUGCAGCCGGGCUGACAAGUCAGAUGUGAAAUCCCGCGGCUCAACCGCGGAACUGCAUUUCAAACUGUCAGUCUUGAGUACCGGAGAGGUCAUCGGAAUUCCUUGUGUAGCGGUGAAAUGCGUAGAUAUAAGGAAGAACACCAGUGGCGAAGGCGGAUGACUGGACGGCAACUGACGGUGAGGCGCGAAAGCGUGGGGAGCAAACAGG
This 253-nucleotide ribosomal RNA is filed under the name uncultured bacterium. RNAcentral's name for it is "partial 16S ribosomal RNA". It matches the Rfam family "Bacterial small subunit ribosomal RNA", at positions 524 to 776 of the family's 1533-position model. The record is from RNAcentral.